GCAUUGGUGGUUUGAUGGUAGAGUUCUCACUUUCCAUAUGAGAGACCUAGGUUUGGUUCCCGGCUAGUGCA
This 71-nucleotide transfer RNA is filed under the name Loxodonta africana (African savanna elephant). It matches the Rfam family "tRNA". Rfam says of the family: Transfer RNA (tRNA) molecules are approximately 80 nucleotides in length. Their secondary structure includes four short double-helical elements and three loops (D, anti-codon, and T loops). Further hydrogen bonds mediate the characteristic L-shaped molecular structure. tRNAs have two regions of fundamental functional importance: the anti-codon, which is responsible for specific mRNA codon recognition, and the 3' end, to which the tRNAs corresponding amino acid is attached (by aminoacyl-tRNA synthetases). tRNAs cope with the degeneracy of the genetic code in two manners: having more than one tRNA (with a specific anti-codon) for a particular amino acid; and 'wobble' base-pairing, i.e. permitting non-standard base-pairing at the 3rd anti-codon position. Lineage: Eukaryota; Metazoa; Chordata; Mammalia; Proboscidea; Elephantidae. The record is from Rfam by way of RNAcentral.